UGGAAAUUAAGUGGAUUAAUAGCCACAUUUGUUGUCACUUUAUCAGCCUAUAAAUAGAGGCUUGAACUUGUGUUGUAAUGAAGAAAAAAUGAGAAGAAAAAAGAAAUAAGAGAAGCAACGUGAGUGAGAGUGAGAAGGUUAGCAAACAUUGAGUGAGUUAAAAUCUAGCAGCAGCUAGACUAUCUAGUCAUUGAGAAAAUAUUUGUAAUCUUCGUAUUGUAAUAUAUUGAGUGUGUAAUAAAAAGUAAAUUUUCGGCCCAUCACGUUUCCAACAAGUGGCAUCAGAGCUACGGUUCGGAGCUUGGUUCGGAGUUCGGUUCGUGUCCGGUUCGUGUCCAGUUCGGAGUACCUUUGGUGUUCAUCUAACAAGUCGAUAUGGGCGACGUAAUUCAGCUACAAGUUCCACAAUUGACGAAGACAAAUUAUGGAAAUUGGAGCAUUCGAAUGAAGGCUUUGCUCGGUUCGCAAGAUUGUUGGGAGAUCGUUGAAAAAGGAUACAUCGAGCCCGGAGAUGCCGCUAC
Molecule: long non-coding RNA, 521 nt
Filed under: Gossypium barbadense (sea-island cotton)
Lineage: Eukaryota; Viridiplantae; Streptophyta; Magnoliopsida; Malvales; Malvaceae
Description: long non-coding RNA (GBAR_LNC006059)
Source: RNAcentral